Molecule: non-coding RNA, 453 nt
Filed under: Dracunculus medinensis (Guinea worm)
Lineage: Eukaryota; Metazoa; Nematoda; Chromadorea; Rhabditida; Dracunculidae
Description: Eukaryotic small subunit ribosomal RNA
Rfam family: Eukaryotic small subunit ribosomal RNA
Source: Rfam by way of RNAcentral
AUUGCUGCGGUUAAAAAGCUCGUAGUUGGAAUCCAGCUUGACGACAUGGUCCAUUUAUUGGAUGUGAACUAUGAUCGUAGGCUAAUCUAUGUUGGUUUUCCUUGCGUUACCUUGAUCGGUCGCGUAAGGUGGCUAGCGAGUUUACCUUGAAAAAAUUAGAGUGCUUAAUGCGGGCUUAAAAGCCUGAAUAUUCGUGCAUGGAAUAAUAGAAUAGGAUCUCGGUUCUAUUUUGUGGGCUUAAAAGCCUGAAUUCGUGCAUGGAAUAAUAGAAUAGGAUCUCGGUUCUAUUUUGUUGGUUUUCUGAUCUGAGAUAAUGGUUAAGAGGGACAGACGGGGGCAUUCGUACCGCUGCGUGAGAGGUGAAAUUCUUGGAAAGUGUGUGUGGUUGACGAAAUCCUUAUGGGGCUAUUGCGAAAUCACCAUGAAAAUGAAAGCCUAUAUAGUCGCGAUUCG